Molecule: ribosomal RNA, 454 nt
Filed under: uncultured bacterium
Lineage: Bacteria
Description: bacterial SSU rRNA
Rfam family: Bacterial small subunit ribosomal RNA
Source: RNAcentral
AACGAACGCUGGCGGCAUGCCUAACACAUGCAAGUCGAGCGAGACCUUCGGGUCUAGUGGCGCACGGGUGCGUAACGCGUGGGAAUCUGCCCUUCGGUUCGGAAUAACUCAGGGAAACUUGAGCUAAUACCGGAUAAUGACGUAAGUCCAAAGAUUUAUCGCCGAAGGAUGAGCCCGCGUAGGAUUAGCUUGUUGGUGGGGUAAAUGGCCCACCAAGGCGACGAUCCUUAGCUGGUCUGAGAGGAUGAUCAGCCACACUGGGACUGAGACACGGCCCAGACUCCUACGGGAGGCAGCAGUGGGGAAUAUUGGACAAUGGGGCGAAAAGCCUGAUCCAGCAAUGCCGCGUGAGUGAUGAAGGCCUUAGGGUUGUAAAGCUCUUUUACCCGGGAUGAUAAUGACAGUACCGGGAGAAUAAGCUCCGGCUAAACUCCGUGCCAGCAGCCGACGGUAA